CGUGGGAUCCGCCCCUCCGCCAGCCCCGCUGGCUUCCCCUCUCCGCCACCCCGGACUCAGAACCUCCCCUCCCCCGCCGGGGCCUGGGCGCGCCUGCCCUUCGCUCCCCGACCUCCUGCUGCAGCUCUGGGCCCCUCGGCCGCUCCCUCCCCUCCUCCCUUGCUCACCCCACGGUUGGCCGCGGAUCUCCAGCACGCCGCCCCAGUCCUCGGCGUCCCGCAGCGCCUGCCAGGGUCGCCGAGCCUCCCCUGCCUCCUGGCCGCCUCUGCAGUGCCGUCCUCCCGGGGCUGGCUCUCUCCCCAGGCCCCCGCUUUGGCCACCCAGGCACUUUCCGCCCUGAGCGUGGCAGCUGCUGCCGGGGGUCCUGGGACCGCGGGAUGGGAACUCCCACGCAGCGUCCCACAGGCUCCUGGCCGCCGCGAGCCCGCGCGACUCGCACGAGCAUGUCCACCCGCAGCGAGGGGCCGGUCACUGCUACGGAGCCCGCCAGAAGGCAAAGCCCCAGACAGCAAAUAGGGAGGCGGCUGGCACCCAGGGAGGCCGAGGCGGGAGGAUCGCUGGAGCCCAGGAGUUCGAGACCUGCCUUGGCAACAUACUCCCUCCAGCGUGCCAAAUGCUGCUAAUGGACAGCCGCUCCUGCCGCUCUGAUGUUGCUAGACCUCCUCAGCACUCAGCCCAAGGCAGCCAGGAAGAAUGAACGAAUGGUGAUUCAGAGGGAAAGGAGGAAGCUGCGUGGCAUUUCAGAGAUACUUAUUUUAAAACUGCUGGUGGCCAUGUCUUCUUUUCAUAUCAGAGCUAAUGAGUUUUGAUAUGUGAACAUUUCUUCUCCUUCAUAGGUAAUGUGUUGAUUUGGCACUUUAAUCUUAGAAUAAUCAUUUCUAAAACCAACCCAACUGCUUUUCUUUACAAUUUUGGCCUUAGCAAACAGAUGAGUCCGUUGACUUGAGCAUUGCUUGGGCACUGUCUGUGUGCAGGUCAGGCAGGGGAUGCUGGUGGCUGGGAAACAUAGAGGAUGGAGGUGUCUUGGGUGUACAUGAAGGGGUGGGGUCAAGUCCACAGGGGGUCGGCCCCUGGCAGCAGUCCUGGAGGGCUUCGUGGAGGAAGGGAGAAUUGAGUGAGAAAGUGGUCCCCAGGUAAGAGGGAAGAGCAUCCAGGGAGAGGAGACUGCUUCUGGGAAGACCAGAGGCAUCACCUCGCAGGGGCUGGUAUGGUGGUGGCUCAGGUGGGAGGAAGAGAGACCUCAGGGAAAAUAACAGGUUCCAUUGACAGGAGGCCUGCUCUGGUGGGGAGGCAGGCUGGUGGUGGAGUCAUGGCUGCAGGCCAGGGAGAUGCCUGACCAACAGGUGUGUUGGCCAGGGUCCCUGUAGCAAAAACACGGAGCUGAGGACCUCAUGGCAGGGACCCCAUGCAGAGGGAGCCGCGGGUGGCAUGGGGAUAGUCACCUGGCUCUCCUGCUCUCGGCCUCCUGCAGCUCCCCUCACUCCCUGCCCUGCCACACAAGGUCAAACCCACCAGGAGGCAGAAGGCGAAGGGCGAGGUCCCAGGGUGAGGAGCAGGGAGGAGAUGGUGGCAGCAGGGAAGGUGAUGCCUGCUGCAGAGUGAGACCUGGGACUGCCAAACACACAGUGACGGGAGCUGAGGAGGCCUGCCGGGGGAGGAAGACAGUGGCUGGCAGUGACAGGAAGGGAGGGUCAGCAUGGGGCGGCAGUCCCAGAGCUCAGGGCUCCCUGCCAGGCCAGCCUUUGUGGCCUGUGGGGUGGAGGUGGCAAUUGCUGUCAUGUCAUAAACACGUCAAGCUUACAAUGAAAUCUCCAGUGUGGCUUGGGAGCAAAUACAUGUGCAGGUGUUUGAGUAUCUGUGCUCUUACCUAACCUCAGGGAGCAGGAAAACGAAAGCUUAUCAUGUAAACACAUCAGCAGCAGGGCUUAUGUGUGUCUCCACACUGGAACCCCCAAGACAAGAGACUGGAGGCAGAGUUGAUUUCCAAGCCCAGAGUGCUGGGCAGCCUUUGGGUUUUAUGUCUGCUUGCUUGGAGCUCAGUGAUAGAAAUCUAGGCCCCAGAAGAGGAAAGGACUGUCCUGCAUAACCAGCACACCCGGGGAAUGCUUCAGGUGCAGCUGGAUCCAGGCAUCCUCAAAUAGUGUGAUUAGGACUCCACUUUCCUUUGUCACCUUGGCUUGGCUCUUCCCUGCUCUGUGUUGUUUUCAGACGAGGUGGGGCCCCAGCAGCUCUGGUCCUCCUGACAUCCUAGAGAAGAGCCAGCCCUUCCCUCCUGGGGUCUACACCGUCCCCUAAGGGACCUCAGACUGGGCUGAUGGAAGGUCUCAAGCAGGCCAUGUGAAGGGCACUGCACAGGAAACACAGAAACGGGAAUCCUAUAAGGUCAGCAGAGCUCUGAGCCCUUUGUUCUUGGGCCUGUUUUUAUGAUCCUCCCUCUACAUGUAGCUCACACUUCCCUGCUUCUGUGCAGGCACCAGGUGAGGGGGUUGUCAUGGCCUCCUGCCACUCUUGAGGCUGUCAGAUAUUACCUGUGCUGUCCCUGCAUUCUCAAGCUCCAAAUUGUCAACUAAGAAAUGGUCACUUAAAAA
Homo sapiens (human) is the source of this 2588-nucleotide long non-coding RNA. Ensembl annotates it as lung cancer immune cell infiltration associated lncRNA. Its record names the gene LCIIAR. The record is from Ensembl. Lineage: Eukaryota; Metazoa; Chordata; Mammalia; Primates; Hominidae.